UGGUUCAGACCUUUCAACUACUACUACUAUGCUGACAACAUGAGUAGCAGCAGCUAUGUAUAGAGCAAGUCCUCAUUUGGAGAUGGAGCUGUGAGGAUUGGUGGUUUUGACAGGAAAUCCUUGAGCUGUGUCAAGGCUUUGUCUGCCUGCUCUAUCCAUUGAAACUUGUCUUGUCGUUUGAGUAGCUUGAAGAAGGGUAGUCCGCGUUCUUCAAGUCUUGAGAUGAAAUAAUUGAG
RNAcentral lists this long non-coding RNA (236 nucleotides) under Setaria viridis. RNAcentral describes it as "long non-coding RNA (SVIR_LNC007089)". Lineage: Eukaryota; Viridiplantae; Streptophyta; Magnoliopsida; Poales; Poaceae. The record is from RNAcentral.